AUUGCAAAGCAGUCGUGUGUUAGGAGGCCGCUGAUUUGAAGACCUGCAUGUUUCCAAGACCAUGGACCGACUCUACACAAAUGACAAUGACAACGUUCAGUAUGCUUCCUCGUGUGACUCGUGCAGAAAGCCCUCAGGAAGACUGCUCUGAUAACUUGGUAAAUAAAAAAAACCCUGUCUGUUCGUUCCUGUGCGAUUGCUUCAAGUUCGAAAUGUGCGACUGACAUGAGAUGCAUCAAGGAAAAACUAUUUUACAGAUAGUCGUGUUUUUUUUCCCCAUAUUCAUAUUUCUUUUACAGAGUAAUCCCAAGGUCUACAAUGGGUGGUGCCUGAUGUACAUCAAGUUCAUCUUUGUAGAAGCUGUUGGCGACACGCACAGAGGCCACGGAUGAUGAAACAAGGAACGCAAUGGCUUUAAAAUUAAAACGGGCUCCAGCGCUGAGUAGCAAAGGGGGCUAUCAAAAGCCCACAAGAGAGUGAUGUUUAUAUUGUUGUGUUUCGCCGAGCUGGUUGUUUAGUUUGAUAUGUCCUACAUAAAAUAUGUAGUAUAU
Syngnathus acus (greater pipefish) is the source of this 551-nucleotide long non-coding RNA. RefSeq lists it as uncharacterized. The record is from RefSeq and is a predicted model, not a curated record. Lineage: Eukaryota; Metazoa; Chordata; Actinopteri; Syngnathiformes; Syngnathidae. The transcript has 2 exons.